GCUAGCUGUCGAAGACUGAGUCCGGUGAUUGUGAACGAACCUCCAUGGACGACCCUCUUCUCUCUGUCCCGUUCCCAGUGCUAGUUCGUCAUGCAAGAUGAUCGUCUGGGACGAACAACAAUUGGGGAAGCACCCGGAACAGAACAAGCUCAAGGAACAGGACAGAGACACCCAUGCACAAGCAAGAGUGAAAAACGAGGCUUCUUUUUCAGAAAACGGGUACCCCUCUCUGGCAUGUCCUCUGUCCUGACUCGGAACCCUCGAAGAGGGCACCUCUGAAGGCCCCUGAAGACAGGCCCGCUGGGGGGAC
Ornithodoros turicata is the source of this 310-nucleotide long non-coding RNA. RefSeq lists it as uncharacterized. The record is from RefSeq and is a predicted model, not a curated record. The transcript has 3 exons. NCBI's taxonomy places the organism in Eukaryota, Metazoa, Arthropoda, Arachnida, Ixodida, Argasidae.